CACGUAGGGCGCGAGCGUUGUCCGGAAUUAUUGGGCGUAAAGGGCGCGUAGGCGGUGCGGUAAGUCACCUGUGAAAUCUCCUGGCUCAACUGGGAGCUUGCAGGCGAAACUGCCGUGCUGGAGUGUGGGAGAGGUGCGUGGAAUUCCUGGUGUAGCGGUGAAAUGCGUAGAUAUCAGGAGGAACACCUGUGGCGAAAGCGGCGCACUGGACCACAACUGACGCUGAGGCGCGAAAGCUAGGGGAGCAAACAGG
RNAcentral lists this ribosomal RNA (253 nucleotides) under uncultured bacterium. RNAcentral describes it as "partial 16S ribosomal RNA". It matches the Rfam family "Bacterial small subunit ribosomal RNA", at positions 524 to 776 of the family's 1533-position model. The record is from RNAcentral.